This is a long non-coding RNA of Lolium rigidum, 472 nucleotides long. RefSeq lists it as uncharacterized. NCBI's taxonomy places the organism in Eukaryota, Viridiplantae, Streptophyta, Magnoliopsida, Poales, Poaceae. The transcript has 4 exons. The record is from RefSeq and is a predicted model, not a curated record.
UGCAACAUGCAGCUUGGAGUUGCCAUCCACCCGGUGGCAAUUGGGCAACCUCCUCCCCAUGAAGCCUUUCACAAUGCCCGGCUCGGUCCUCGUCAACAACAAGGCCACGAGAACGCAACUUAUAUGAGAAAUUUACUUGUAUCUCGACUCCGCGUUAUCGUGUCACUAUGGCAACAGUGGCAAUUUACAGCAUUCUAGUCAUCAACAAGUCCGGUGGCUUUAUAUACUACAAAAGGACUAUGGUUCGGCCGGGAGAAUGGACACCAACGACAUUCUACAAUUUGCAAGACACUCACAUUUGAUGCAUGGUGUCUUGCUUCAGUUGUCCCCUACCACUGGUUGUAAUGGCAUUAACAUCCUACAGGCCUGCAGCUUCAACCUCCAUUGCUUCCAUUCUUCCAUAGUUCUAGAAAUAUUAUCAAAGCAUCUUCUAUGAAGGGAUUGCUAUUAAUUUCGGCCUUAUAGAGGCUCA